GACGAACGCUGGCGGCGUGCUUAACACAUGCAAGUCGAACGAUGAAGCUGGAGCUUGCUCCGGUGGAUUAGUGGCGAACGGGUGAGUAACACGUGAGCAAUCUGCCCUUGACUCUGGGAUAACUGCGGGAAACUGUAGCUAAUACCGGAUACUUUCCUUGGUGGGCAUCCACUGGGGAAGAAAGAAUUUCGGUCAAGGAUGAGCUCGCGGCCUAUCAGCUAGUUGGUGAGGUAAUGGCUCACCAAGGCGACGACGGGUAGCCGGCCUGAGAGGGUGACCGGCCACACUGGAACUGAGACACUGUCCAGACUCCUACGGGAGGCAGCAGUGGGGAAUAUUGCACAACGGGCGAAAGCCUGAUGCAGCAACGCCGCGUGAGGGACGAAGGCCUUCGGGUUGUAAACCUCUUUUAGCAGGGAAGAAGCGAAAGUGACGGUACCUGCAGAAAAAGCACCGGCUAACUACGUGCCAGCCGCCGCAGUAA
Molecule: ribosomal RNA, 484 nt
Filed under: uncultured bacterium
Lineage: Bacteria
Description: partial 16S ribosomal RNA
Rfam family: Bacterial small subunit ribosomal RNA
Source: RNAcentral